This 290-nucleotide unclassified non-coding RNA is filed under the name Hevea brasiliensis (rubber tree). Lineage: Eukaryota; Viridiplantae; Streptophyta; Magnoliopsida; Malpighiales; Euphorbiaceae. The record is from RNAcentral.
UGGGAUUGUUGCCUUUGCCCAAAAAGGCUAUGGAGCACCUUCCUGUUGAGGUUAUUGGCAACAUAUUGUCUCGGUUAGGAGCUGCACGAGAUGUAGUGAUUGCAUCUUCUACUUGCCGGAAAUGGCGAGAGGCUUGGAGAAAUCAUCUUCACACACUCACGUUUAAUUCAAAUGACUGGCCUCUUUAUCAUGAGCUUACAAGGAGCAGACUAGAGAUAAUUGUGACACAGACAAUAUUCCAGACUAAUGGAUUACAGUGUCUGUCAAUUAUGAUGGAUGAUGUGGAUGAG